This 464-nucleotide ribosomal RNA is filed under the name uncultured bacterium. Its description in RNAcentral is "partial 16S ribosomal RNA". It matches the Rfam family "Bacterial small subunit ribosomal RNA", at positions 29 to 507 of the family's 1533-position model. The record is from RNAcentral.
ACGAACGCUGGCGGCGUGCUUCACACAUGCAAGUCGAACGGAAAGGCCCCUUUGGGGGUACUCGAGUGGCGACCGGGUGAGUAACACGUGAGUAACCUGCCCUUGACUUCGGGAUAACUUCAGGAAACUGGGGCUAAUACCGGAUAGGAAUCCUUGCUGCAUGGUGGGGGUUGGAAAGCUUCGGCGGUUUUGGAUGGACUCGCGGCUUAUCAGCUUGUUGGUGGGGUAGUGGCUUACCAAGGCUUUGACGGGUAGCCGGCCUGAGAGGGCGACCGGCCACAUUGGGACUGAGAUACGGCCCAGACUCCUACGGGAGGCAGCAGUGGGGAAUAUUGCACAAUGGGCGGAAGCCUGAUGCAGCAACGCCGCGUGCGGGAUGACGGCCUUCGGGUUGUAAACCGCUUUCAGCAGGGGCGAAGCUUGUGGUGACGGUACCUGCAGAAGAAGCACCGGCUAACUACGUG